This 25-nucleotide unclassified non-coding RNA is filed under the name Mus musculus (house mouse). RNAcentral's name for it is "oocyte_clustered_small_RNA5071". Lineage: Eukaryota; Metazoa; Chordata; Mammalia; Rodentia; Muridae. The record is from RNAcentral.
UAGAAGGAGUCCUGAGAGGGGUAGA